GGAAUUGACGGGGCCGCACAAGCGGAGGAGCAUGUGGCUCAAUUCGAUGCAACGCGAAGAACCUUACCAGGGCUUGACAUGUAACUGCAGGCCCCGUGAAAGCGGGCGGCCUUCGAGGGUGUUACACAGGUGCUGCAUGGCUGUCGUCAGUUCGUGCCGUGAGGUGUUGGGUUAAGUCCCGCAACGAACGCAACCCCUGUGUCCAGUUGCCAACGCCGGUGAUGAACCGGCGCGCACUCCGGACAGACUGCCCGUAUACACGGGAGGAAGGUGGGGACGACGUCAAGUCAGUAUGGCCCUUACGUCCUGGGCUGCACACGUGCUACAAUGGUCGGCACAAUGGGAAGCAAGACCGCAAGGUGGAGCAAAUCCAUAAAACCGACCCCAGUUCGGAUUGAAGUCUGAAACUCGACUUCAUGAAGCCGGAUUCGCUAGUAAUGGCGCAUCAGCUACGGCGCCGUGAAUACGUUCCCGGGCCUU
RNAcentral lists this ribosomal RNA (480 nucleotides) under uncultured Lentisphaerota bacterium. RNAcentral describes it as "bacterial SSU rRNA". It matches the Rfam family "Bacterial small subunit ribosomal RNA", at positions 906 to 1382 of the family's 1533-position model. The record is from RNAcentral. Lineage: Bacteria; Pseudomonadati; Lentisphaerota.